RNAcentral lists this ribosomal RNA (253 nucleotides) under uncultured bacterium. Its description in RNAcentral is "partial 16S ribosomal RNA". It matches the Rfam family "Bacterial small subunit ribosomal RNA", at positions 524 to 776 of the family's 1533-position model. The record is from RNAcentral.
UACGAAGGGGGCUAGCGUUAAUCGGAAUUACUGGGCGUAAAGGGUGCGUAGGUGGUAUUGUAAGUUAUCUGUGAAAUUCCUGGGCUUAACCUGGGGUGGUCAGAUAAAACUGCGGUACUCGAGUAUAGGAGAGGGUAGUGGAAUUUCGUGUGUAGGGGUGAAAUCCGUAGAUCUACGAAGGAACGCCAAAAGCAAAGGCAGUUCUCUGGGUCCCUACCGAUGCUGGGGUGCGAAAGCAUGGGGAGCGAACAGG